GCCCUAUCCCCGCCCUUUAAGAUCUCGCUUGGCCCUGCCCGGACACCCUACACAGGGACCACAGGCCCCGCCCCUCCCCGUCCCACCGGCCCCCGCCCUCCAAACCCCCCUGGCCCCGCCCAGAUACCCGGACAGGCGCCACAGGCUAGGCCCCGCCCCGCCUCACAUGCCCAGCCCCUUCCCUCCAAGACCCCCGCCUGGCCCGGCCCAGACACUCCCCACAGGCUCCACAGGCCUGGCUCCGCCCCCUCACAGGACCCCUCUAGGUCCUCCAGGACCCCGCCUGGUCACCCCCCCGAACCCCCCUCCACAGGCCUCACAGGCCUGGCCGCGCUCCGCCCCACAGGCCCCGCCCCCUUCCUCCCCUCAACAGGCCCUGGCCCACCCCUGCAAGACAACGCCUGGGCCCGCCCGGAUCCUCUUUCUCCGCCCCGCCCCCCCACCGCUGGCUUCAUAGGCCCCGGCCCUCCCCACCCAGGCCCCGCCCUGCUCCUCUGCCCCGCCCAGACCCCGCCCUGCUCCUCUGCCCCGCCCAAACCCCGCCCUGCUCCUCUGCCUCGCCCAGACCCCGCCCUGCUCCUCUGCCCCGCCCAGACCCCGCCCUGCUCCUCUGCCCCGCCCAGUCCUCGCCCUGCUUCUCUGCCCCGCCCAUUCCCCGCCCUGCUCCUCUGCCCCGCCCAUUCCCCCGCCCUGCUCCUCUGCCUCGCCCAGACCCCGCCCUGCUCCUCUGCCUCGCCCAGACCCCGCCCUGCUCCUCUGCCUCGCCCAGACCCCGCCCUGCUCCUCUGCCUCGCCCAGACCCCGCCCUGCUCCUCUGCCCCGCCCAGGCCCCGCCCUGCUUCUCUGCCCCGCCCAUUCCCCGCCCUGCUCCUCUGCCCCGCCCAGACCCCGCCCUGCUCCUCUGCCUCGCCCAGACCCCUGGGCUCCCCUGGUUUGGCUCCUGUAGUCCCCGGUGCGAGGCCCUGUAGGGCAACACUGGGUCGGCCCGGUUCCUUACUAGCUCGUGGAACUGCGCUUCGGGGCACAAAGCAGACUCUCCAUAGACUUGGAAACUGUGCCCACGUGGGCACCGAGCGCCCUGCUGUAGGAGCGGACUCCAUCUUGAGCUGGCCCUUAACAUCGGAAGCUCUCAGGCAUCACAGAGAUCUGAACUUGGUCCCCAAAGAAAAUAAAACUGCAGUGCAAGUGUAA
RNAcentral lists this long non-coding RNA (1191 nucleotides) under Callithrix jacchus (white-tufted-ear marmoset). RNAcentral describes it as "lncRNA (ENSCJAG00000075911.1)". Lineage: Eukaryota; Metazoa; Chordata; Mammalia; Primates; Cebidae. The record is from RNAcentral.